UACGGGGGGGGCAAGCGUUGUUCGGAAUUACUGGGCGUAAAGGGCUCGUAGGUGGCCAACUAAGUCAGACGUGAAAUCCCUCGGCUUAACCGGGGAACUGCGUCUGAUACUGGUUGGCUUGAGUUUGGGAGAGGGACGCGGAAUUCCAGGUGUAGCGGUGAAAUGCGUAGAUAUCGAGAGGAACACCUGCGGCGAAGGCGGGUUGCUGGGCUGACACUGACGCUGAUGCGCGAAAGCUAGGGGAGCGAACGGG
Molecule: ribosomal RNA, 253 nt
Filed under: uncultured bacterium
Lineage: Bacteria
Description: partial 16S ribosomal RNA
Rfam family: Bacterial small subunit ribosomal RNA
Source: RNAcentral